This 450-nucleotide ribosomal RNA is filed under the name uncultured bacterium. RNAcentral describes it as "partial 16S ribosomal RNA". It matches the Rfam family "Bacterial small subunit ribosomal RNA", at positions 354 to 796 of the family's 1533-position model. The record is from RNAcentral.
GUGGGGAAUCUUCCGCAAUGGACGAAAGUCUGACGGAGCAACGCCGCGUGAGUGAAGAAGGUUUUCGGAUCGUAAAGCUCUUUCGUUAGGGACGAACGUGCUCUUUGUGAAUAAUGAGGAGUAAUGACGGUACCUAAAUAAGAAGCCACGGCUAACUACGUGCCAGCAGCCGCGGUAAUACGUAGGUGGCAAGCGUUGUCCGGAAUUAUUGGGCGUAAAGCGCGCGCAGGCGGGAUAUCAAGUCUGUCUUAAAAGUGCGAAGCUCAACCUCGUGAGUGGACAGAAACUGGUAUUCUUGAGUGUCGGAUAUGAAAGUGGAAUUCCAAGUGUAGCGGUGAAAUGCGUAGAGAUUUGGAAGAACACCAGUGGCGAAGGCGACUUUCUGGACGAUGUCUGACGCUGAGGCGCGAAAGCUAGGGGAGCGAACGGGAUUAGAAACCCCUGUAGUCC